This is a regulatory RNA element of 135 nucleotides. It matches the Rfam family "ALIL pseudoknot". The record is from Rfam.
GACGUCUUUCUUCGUGGGGGAACUCGACCCCCGCAAUCGAUGAUCAUCAGCUUCAUUGAUGAGAUGCGUACCAAAGGUGUUGCGGUCGAGUCGAUCUGCCGAGUCCUGUCUGAGCAGGGCUGUCAGAUCGCCGCA